GCUCCUGUGGCGGAAGGGAAGACGCUCUAGACCGAGGAUCUAGGUUUUGUGGGUUCGAUUCCCACCAGGAGUACCA
This 76-nucleotide transfer RNA is filed under the name Leptothermofonsia sichuanensis E412. RNAcentral's name for it is "tRNA-Leu". It matches the Rfam family "tRNA". From Rfam's summary of the family: Transfer RNA (tRNA) molecules are approximately 80 nucleotides in length. Their secondary structure includes four short double-helical elements and three loops (D, anti-codon, and T loops). The record is from RNAcentral. RNAcentral also lists the same sequence under 3 other names. Lineage: Bacteria; Bacillati; Cyanobacteriota; Cyanophyceae; Leptolyngbyales; Leptolyngbyaceae.